GUUGAACGCUGGCGGCAGGCUUAACACAUGCAAGUCGAGCGGGCGAGGUUGCUGCGGUAACGGAGCUAGCGGCGGAAGGGUGAGUAAAGCGUAGGAAUCUGCCUAUUAGUGGGGGACAACAUUUCGAAAGGGAUGCUAAUACCGCAUACGUACUACGGGGGAAAGCAGGGGAUCACUGGUGACCUUGCGCUAAUAGAUGAGCUUAAGUCGGAUUAGCUAGUUGGUGGGGUAAAGGCCUACCAAGGCGACGAUCUGUAGCGGGUCUGAGAGGAUGAGCCGCCACACUGGGACUGAGACACGGCCCAGACUCCUACGGGAGGCAGCAGUGGGGAAUAUUGGACAAUGGGGGGAACCCUGAUCCAGCCAUGCCGCGUGUGUGAAGAAGGCCUUUUGGUUGUAAAGCACUUUAAGUGGGGAGGAGGCUUACCUGGUUAAUACCUGGGCUAAGCGGACGUUACCCACAGAAUAAGCACCGGCUAACUCUGUGCCAGCCGCCGCCGUAA
RNAcentral lists this ribosomal RNA (503 nucleotides) under uncultured bacterium. Its description in RNAcentral is "partial 16S ribosomal RNA". It matches the Rfam family "Bacterial small subunit ribosomal RNA", at positions 28 to 523 of the family's 1533-position model. The record is from RNAcentral.